GGGGGAGUAGUUCAACUGGCAGAACACAGUGCUCUGAACACUCGAGGUUGAUCGUUCGAAUCGAUCCUCCCCUU
This 74-nucleotide transfer RNA is filed under the name Deltaproteobacteria bacterium. Its description in RNAcentral is "tRNA-Gln". It matches the Rfam family "tRNA". From Rfam's summary of the family: Transfer RNA (tRNA) molecules are approximately 80 nucleotides in length. Their secondary structure includes four short double-helical elements and three loops (D, anti-codon, and T loops). The record is from RNAcentral. Lineage: Bacteria; Pseudomonadati; Myxococcota; Myxococcia.